RNAcentral lists this ribosomal RNA (522 nucleotides) under uncultured bacterium. RNAcentral describes it as "bacterial SSU rRNA". It matches the Rfam family "Bacterial small subunit ribosomal RNA", at positions 8 to 518 of the family's 1533-position model. The record is from RNAcentral.
AGAGUUUGAUCCUGGCUUAGGAUGAACGCUAGCUACAGGCUUAACACAUGCAAGUCGAGGGGCAGCAUGGGAGUUGCUUGCAAUUCCUGAUGGCGACCGGCGCACGGGUGAGUAACGCGUAUCCAACCUUCCCCUCAGUAGGGCAUAGCCCGUAGAAAUGCGGAUUAAUACCCUAUGCGGUCCGAUGAGGACAUCUGAGCUGGACGAAAGGUUUACCGCUGAGGGAUGGGGAUGCGUCUGAUUAGGUAGUCGGCGGGGUAACGGCCCACCGAGCCAUCGAUCAGUAGGGGUUCUGAGAGGAAGGUCCCCCACACUGGUACUGAGACACGGACCAGACUCCUACGGGAGGCAGCAGUGAGGAAUAUUGGUCAAUGGGCGAGAGCCUGAACCAGCCAAAGUAGCGUGCGGGAUGACGGCCCUACGGGUUGUAAACUGCUUUUAUGCGGGGAUAAAGUGAGGGACUUGUCCCUUUUUGCAGGUACCGCAUGAAUAAGGACCGGCUAAUUCCGUGCCAGCCGCGGC